UACGUAGGGUGCAAGCGUUGUCCGGAUUUAUUGGGUUUAAAGGGUGCGUAGGUGGCUUUUUAAGUCAUGGGUGAAAGCCCGCAGCUCAACUGUGGAAUUGCCUGUGAUACUGAGGAGCUUGAGUGCGGUUGAGGCAGCUGGAAUUGGUGGUGUAGCGGUGAAAUGCAUAGAUACCACCAGGAACACCGAUUGCGAAGGCAGGUUGCUAAGCCGUAACUGACACUGAGGCACGAAAGCGUGGGGAGCAAACAGG
Molecule: ribosomal RNA, 253 nt
Filed under: uncultured bacterium
Lineage: Bacteria
Description: partial 16S ribosomal RNA
Rfam family: Bacterial small subunit ribosomal RNA
Source: RNAcentral